Molecule: non-coding RNA, 1522 nt
Organism: Zootermopsis nevadensis
Lineage: Eukaryota; Metazoa; Arthropoda; Insecta; Blattodea; Termopsidae
Source: RefSeq, a predicted model, not a curated record
UCAAAGGCUCGGACAGACGGACUCCGAAUGGAAGAGGAGAAAUGAGGAGGCCAUGGACCGAAUACGGACCGGAGAGCCAUAGAAGAAGAAGAAGGAAAGAUGCCCAUGAUGUGGGUAAGAUUAUACCCCACAAUCCCAGCAUUUUCUGAAGUAAAGACUAUGUGUAAAGGUAUGUCAAGGGUAGUAAGGUGGUGACUGAUAUGAAUAGGGCAAUUGCAGAAAUUAAACCAUACAACUUAUGUGAACAGCUAAGAUAUUAAUGAAAACUCUGUUCUUAAAUUUUAAUAUUAACCCUGAAAGGCCCCGCAUGUCUUUUAAAGAUGUGGAAUUAGUAUCCCUAGUUGGCCCACCACAGACUUUUAAGACAUGGCAUGCAUUGUAUCAUGUAACAUAGCUUUGUGAUCAUUAUUUUGGGUUAUAAUCCAUUAUAACAAUGUCACUGUGCUCUAGAAGGAUGGUCCUAUAACAUUCAUAAACUUUGUCAAAAGGGCCUCAUUCCCCUCUUUUACAAAUAUUUUUACUUUACUUCCCUUGACAACCAACAGCUAAGAUUUGUUGGUGGGAAUUACCCCCUUAUUUUCAGCUAAACUCUGUAACUUUCAAAUAAACACUGAGUACAAGGCUGAGAAGUAUUUUAAUAACUUGAUCUGAAAGUGCUCAACUGAAGUGCUAUUUUCACACAUGUUCUAGAAGGGUUCAUGUUAUUUACUGGUACACUAAUAUGUGCCUGCUCUGAUUUAGUGGUUAAUUUCACCGUGGCUUUGUCACUGGUUUGUGGUCUGCUGUUAUGGUCAGUUGUCCACUGUGUACUUGCAUUAAUUUUCUUAUUUAUGUAACAUAAUUUAUUAUGAUUGUUAUUUCACAGUGUAUAAACAAACUGAUCUCAGUGAAGUGACUUACACAUCACUUUGUACAGUUUACAAAUAAUCCACUUCUGGUCUAUUCCAGUUGCUAGUAAUACUAGCUUUAUCCGACGUGCCUCAAAGGGCAAGUGUUCUUCCUGUAACCUGAAGGAGAUGAGCCAGCUUCCAUAAUGUCAUAUUUUCUAUGCAGAUGGUACUUAGCAUCAAAUAAAAAGGACAAAAAUAGUACAGCUGCAAUGAAAUGGAGAAGAUAGCAGGUAUAUGUUUCAAGGCAGUUUUGUGGAAGAAUUAACCAGCCAUGAAGAACCUUCACCAGAGGUCACCAGUCCAGGAUAGAGGCUCAAAUUGGUUACCUUCUGAAUGCAGACUCAAUUUGUGGUGCUCAGUAAUGAGGUAAACACAGACUGAAUAGUAACUAAUGUGAUAUGAAUGCAGUACUGCAGUUCACAGCUACUCUGUGUUUCUCAUGGCUUGAAAAUUAUGUAACUAUAGAAAAUUAAUUAUGCACAACUAAUGAAACUGCCAUCAAAACAGCUUGUAAGAUGUAAAAUCUGAAAAUAAUUCAAAACACAAUUGUACACCUUAUAAAUUUGUACUUUACUUCAGUAUCAGAUAUGCAAAAUAACAAUAAAGUACAAGUGAUGUGUGAAUUAGUUAAA